UACGUAGGGUGCGAGCGUUGUCCGGAAUUAUUGGGCGUAAAGAGCUUGUAGGCGGUUUGUCGCGUCUGCUGUGAAAAUCCGAGGCUCAACCUCGGACUUGCAGUGGGUACGGGCAGACUAGAGUGUGGUAGGGGAGACUGGAAUUCCUGGUGUAGCGGUGAAAUGCGCAGAUAUCAGGAGGAACACCGGUGGCGAAGGCGGAUCUCUGGGCCAUUACUGACGCUGAGGAGCGAAAGCGUGGGGAGCGAACAGGAUUAGAUACCCCGGUA
This 269-nucleotide ribosomal RNA is filed under the name uncultured prokaryote. RNAcentral describes it as "partial 16S ribosomal RNA". It matches the Rfam family "Bacterial small subunit ribosomal RNA", at positions 524 to 792 of the family's 1533-position model. The record is from RNAcentral.